This 460-nucleotide ribosomal RNA is filed under the name uncultured bacterium. Its description in RNAcentral is "SSU rRNA". It matches the Rfam family "Bacterial small subunit ribosomal RNA", at positions 26 to 518 of the family's 1533-position model. The record is from RNAcentral.
AGAAUCAACGCUGGCGGCGUGCCUAACACAUGCAAGUCGAACGAGAAAGGGAUUUCGGUCCUGAGUAAAGUGGCGCACGGGUGAGUAACACGUGACUAACCUACCCUUGAGUGGGGAAUAACUUCGAGAAAUCGAGGCUAAUUCCGCAUAAUACCUACGGGUCAAAGGAGCAAUUCGCUUAAGGAGGGGGUCGCGGCAGAUUAGCUAGUUGGCGGGGUAAUGGCCCACCAAGGCAGUGAUCUGUAUCCGGCCUGAGAGGGCGCACGGACACACUGGAACUGAAACACGGUCCAGACUCCUACGGGAGGCAGCAGUGGGGAAUUUUGCGCAAUGGGGGAAACCCUGACGCAGCAACGCCGCGUGGAGGAUGAAGUAUCUUGGUACGUAAACUCCUUUCGAUCGGGACGAUAAUGACGGUACCGAUAGAAGAAGCCCCGGCUAACUUCGCGCCAGCAGCCGC